RNAcentral lists this transfer RNA (71 nucleotides) under Paraglypturus tonganus (nomen nudum). Its description in RNAcentral is "tRNA-Gln". The record is from RNAcentral. Lineage: Eukaryota; Metazoa; Arthropoda; Malacostraca; Decapoda; Callianassidae.
UUAUAUACUAGUGUUUAUUGCACAAGAAAUUUUGAUUUUCUUAGGGUUAGAUAACUUCUAUCGUAUAUAAA